CAGCAGCCGCGGGAAUACGUAGGGUGCGAGCGUUAAUCGGAAUUACUGGGCGUAAAGCGUGCGCAGGCGGUUCGUUAAGACAGAUGUGAAAUCCCCGGGCUUAACCUGGGAACUGCAUUUGUGACUGGCGGGCUAGAGUAUGGCAGAGGGGGGUAGAAUUCCACGUGUAGCAGUGAAAUGCGUAGAUAUGCGGAGGAACACCGAUGGCGAAGGCAGCCCCCUGGGCCAAUACUGACGCUCAUGCACGAAAGCGUGGGGAGCAAACAGGAUUAGAUACCCGUGUAGUCCCUGUCUCUUAUAC
RNAcentral lists this ribosomal RNA (301 nucleotides) under uncultured bacterium. RNAcentral describes it as "partial 16S ribosomal RNA". It matches the Rfam family "Bacterial small subunit ribosomal RNA", at positions 509 to 807 of the family's 1533-position model. The record is from RNAcentral.